GAACGCACAUUGCACCUCAGAGUAUUCUUUGAGGUAUACCUGUUCGAGCGUCGUUUAGACCAUAAGGCUUUGCCUUGCGUUGAUGGCUUGGGAGUACAAUUUUUCUUUUGUUUACUUCCCAACUGUCCAAACAUGCUGGCGUCGUAGUUUGACCCAAGACACAACACAAUGUGACACUGGAACAAGCAAGCGAUUUGCCCUGAAUCACUGUUUCUCGUUAUAGAGAAACGUAGGUUCGACCUCGGAUCAGGUAAGACUACCCGCUGAACUUAAG
This 274-nucleotide unclassified non-coding RNA is filed under the name uncultured fungus. Its description in RNAcentral is "sequence contains 5.8S rRNA gene". Lineage: Eukaryota; Fungi. The record is from RNAcentral.